This is a non-coding RNA of Klebsiella pneumoniae IS43, 78 nucleotides long. The record is from Rfam. NCBI's taxonomy places the organism in Bacteria, Pseudomonadati, Pseudomonadota, Gammaproteobacteria, Enterobacterales, Enterobacteriaceae.
GCUGUCGCAAAAUCGGCAGCCGGGCGUGAGAACCCGAGUUACUCAGUGGCGACACCGGACGCGCCAUGCGUCUUUUUU